Long non-coding RNA from Pangasianodon hypophthalmus (striped catfish), 1803 nucleotides. RefSeq lists it as uncharacterized. The record is from RefSeq and is a predicted model, not a curated record. The transcript has 3 exons. NCBI's taxonomy places the organism in Eukaryota, Metazoa, Chordata, Actinopteri, Siluriformes, Pangasiidae.
GAGCACAUGAGUUAGGAGAAGUUUGUGGGUUUUGGAGACAGAGGAGUAGUAACAGCAGCUGUGACAUGCUUCUUGCACUACUUCCUGCUCUAACACACACACACACACACACAUAUAGACAAACUGUGACUUGAAGUAGGUGUGUGUUUUGCGUAAAGGGAACGUGCUUUCCUUUUAUUUAACGUGAAAAGGUGAUGCACGUGCAGUUCUGAUUGUUUACAGUCAUGCACCAGAGCCUUCAAGCACUGCUAUAUGAACAGAAGCAUCCUCCUGCCCCGUGUGAGCUGCACUACUGUCUCUCCUCCCUCAUGUUUGCAUGUCAGCGUUAUAUACGUUUACAUCCAGAGCGACUCACAUUUAUCUCAUUUAUACAACUGAGCAGUGGAGGGUUAAGGGCCUUGCUCAAGGGCCCAGCAGCGGCAGCUUGUUAGUGCUGGGAUUUGAACUCACAACCUUCUGAUCGGUAAGUACCAGACCAGUACCACCUAGCCCAUGUCGUUCAGCAGCAGCGGUACGUGACCGUAGCUUUUGGUGCUGCAAGAGGACAUUAAUAACGACAAACCCCCCCAAACACAAUGCUAUUGAGACGCUAUCACGCUUGCUAUAGGCGACUCUCUAGUGAAUUUUUUGAGUAACCUUGUAGAUGAGAACCAACAACAGUAACAGUCUCUGAAGGUUUUAGACGAACCCUCGUUCAACUGUUUUCGAGGUUAAUAUCAUAAACCCGGGUUCCCAGGUUUCAGCAACAUUUCCAGCCCAACUACAUCUCAAAAACCACACGAAAGACCUGAAACUCCACUGAUGAUCCCCUCCAUAAUCCCCCUUUCAUAAUCGCUCUACUAAACCUUUGCAAUGUAUCUUACAAUAGAAAUCGUUCUGUACAUCAUACAAACACACUGUCUGCACUUAAACUCUGCCUUUUUGGUGAAAUUUAUUACAUGUAAUUCCGAUUACUUGCUAUAAAACAAGAUCUUGGUGGACGAGGAGUGAUUUUAAACUAACCCAAUCUGGCAACCCUGUCAUUACCGGUCCUGAUGCUGCGUCUCCCCCGAGCAUGGGGCAGCGUGAUUCCUGCCCCUGUGGAGCUCAGAUUAGCGCUUGCUGCAGUUCCCACUUUCACCACUAGGUGUAAUAAGAACUGUAUGGAGGAGAAUGGGGCAUUGACGCUGCACCACGAUUACGCAUCUAUAAAGAAUAGCAAAUCAACACAACAUCGGCUUAUAUGUGUCACAUAGCGACACUUUCUGAAAUCGUUGUUCACUCCAAAGAUGUAAUUAGUAUUUCAAAAAGAAUUUAAAAUGUUGUGAAUGAGGACCGAAUGGCUGAACUCUGCAUCACCUGACCGCACAAUUUGUGCUACUUACUACUUACUUCCUUCCACACAGAAAUCCAUAGUGAGGUACCUCUGUAGCUUCAUUACACGUUACACAUACUGGGAUUUGUGUCUUGUAUAUGUAGCGUGAUUAGUGUUCUUCCAUCUUCCCUACGUAUAGUUUGUUGUGUGUUUCCUGUUGAGCAGUUCCAAAUGGCAAAAACUCCUGUACCUCACAAGUACUGACAAAUAAUCAAGAGAUUCUGCUUCUCAUAAGUGCAACCUUUGCACUUACAAAGAGAGAGAGAAAAGAGAGGCUGGCGAGGGAACGACUGUUUCUAGCUGCUAUAACCUCCUGACUCACCGCGUCCCACACGACGGCGGCCACGCCCCCUUUUCUCCAGUCCUGAGCCAAUCGGAUGCGGCGCUCGGCGAACCGGAACUCAGCGGAAGACGAGUGGAGUUUGGACAGAGAAGGCAGGAUGUUUUCA